GGACGAACGCUGGCGGCGUGCUUAACACAUGCAAGUCGAACGUAAAGGCCCUGCUUUUGUGGGGUGCUCGAGUGGCGAACGGGUGAGUAACACGUGAGUAACCUGCCCUUGACUUUGGGAUAACUUCAGGAAACUGGGGCUAAUACCGGAUAGGAGCUCCUUCUGCAUGGUGGGGGUUGGAAAGUUUCGGCGGUUGGGGAUGGACUCGCGGCUUAUCAGCUUGUUGGUGGGGUAGUGGCUUACCAAGGCUUUGACGGGUAGCCGGCCUGAGAGGGUGACCGGCCACAGUGGGACUGAGAGACGGCCCAGAAGCCAACGGGAGGCAGCAGUGGGGAAUAUUGCACAAUGGGCGGAGGACUGAUGCAGCAACGCCGCGUGCGGGAUGAAGGCCUUCGGGUUGUAAACCGCUUUCGCCUGUGACGAAGCGUGAGUGACGGUAAUGGGUAAAGAAGCACCGGCUAACUACGUG
RNAcentral lists this ribosomal RNA (469 nucleotides) under uncultured bacterium. RNAcentral describes it as "partial 16S ribosomal RNA". It matches the Rfam family "Bacterial small subunit ribosomal RNA", at positions 27 to 507 of the family's 1533-position model. The record is from RNAcentral.